CACCCCUUAGCGAGCUUUCGACCAACGACUCCCAGACCAUAUAAGACCUUAGGGCGCUAGGUUUUAAGAUACCCCUUCGGGCGUACUUACUCAAGUAACAAAGGCCCCGAAACAAAACUAGCCACGGUAAUUUUUAUUUUAUUUUUCUUUCUUUUUCUUUCUUUUUUUUUUGUUUUGUUUUUUUUUUAAUGAAGCUUAUAUAUCCCAAAUUUCCCCCCCAAACUUAAGUUUUUAUCUAAAUUUAGCCAUCUCUGCCUAUUCAUGUCUUUCAUUCCUUCAAACUAGUAUUAUCCUUAAAAAAACCAUUAUGUAUCAAUUUAAACUUAAUUAGUUAACAUAGUUGUUAUUAACGUGCUAACCUUGAUUAUACCAGUUUCAAACAGGAAAAGAUUCAAUUCAUAACAAGAAAUCACAUCAAAGCCUUAAUAUUCAAUACUAUACUUAUCUACUUAAUUCCAGUCUCAUCAUUGGCCAAAAUAGACUUUUACU
This 489-nucleotide long non-coding RNA is filed under the name Panax ginseng (ginseng). RNAcentral's name for it is "long non-coding RNA (PGIN_LNC003465)". The record is from RNAcentral. Lineage: Eukaryota; Viridiplantae; Streptophyta; Magnoliopsida; Apiales; Araliaceae.